GAGAUGAUCCCACACCCUCUGAGCUGAAGCAUAAAAGGUCUGAAUAGAGAAUGUUCAGCAUCUUGACUGAAGGCAAACAUGUAUACCAAGAAACCUCCAGAGACGGUGCUGGAUGACAUGCGGAAAGCGCCUGAGCACGUUCUUCCAGAGAAGUCUUUGCAUUUGUAUGUUUCAGAUCAGCUAAUCAAACUCUCUUGGGUUCUGGGGGAGAAUUGGGAGGUGGCAUAGGAUAUGACUACUCCCUGUCUUGAUUUUGCUGAAUUGUCCAAAUGUACAAACUCUAUAUUGAAGAGUAAAUUUUGCUAUAUGUAAGUUAUACUUUAAUUAUAAAAAUACAAAUAAAUAUUGUAUGAUCAUUCCUUUUUGAGAUAUAAAACCAGAGCAGGCCAUCCCUGGCGCCACUAUUGAGGAAAGUCUAAGUGGAGUUCCCAUGAGAGAUGAAAUCAGGAGUGCUCUGUCUCAUCCCCCUAAGUCUGCCACCUUUACAAACUCAGUCUUACAGAAGAAGAGUAAAAUUUAUAGUUGU
RNAcentral lists this long non-coding RNA (526 nucleotides) under Mustela putorius furo (domestic ferret). RNAcentral's name for it is "lncRNA (ENSMPUG00000030385.1)". The record is from RNAcentral. Lineage: Eukaryota; Metazoa; Chordata; Mammalia; Carnivora; Mustelidae.